UACGGAGGAGGCAAGCGGUAUACGGCAUUAUUGGGCGUAAAGCGUCCGUAGGUGGUGAUUCAAGUCAGCGGUUAAAGCGUGGGGCUUAACCUCAUACAGGCCGUUGAAACUGGAUUGCUAGAGUGCGGUAGGGGUCGAGGGAAUUCCCAGUGUAGCGGUGAAAUGCGUAGAUAUUGGGAAGAACACCGGUGGCGAAAGAGCUCGACUGGGCCUGCACUGACACUGAGGGACGAAAGCUAGGGGAGCGAAAGGG
Molecule: ribosomal RNA, 253 nt
Filed under: uncultured bacterium
Lineage: Bacteria
Description: partial 16S ribosomal RNA
Rfam family: Bacterial small subunit ribosomal RNA
Source: RNAcentral